Long non-coding RNA from Myiozetetes cayanensis, 497 nucleotides. RefSeq lists it as uncharacterized. Lineage: Eukaryota; Metazoa; Chordata; Aves; Passeriformes; Tyrannidae. The record is from RefSeq and is a predicted model, not a curated record. The transcript is spliced from 2 exons.
CUCAAAAUUAACUUAAAACCAGCCCAGAAACACCCAGGGCGGGCAGCUGGAGAUGAUCGUCUGAAAUGGCUCUAAAAACACCCAAAAUCACCCAAAAUUAACUUAAAACCAGCCCAGAAACACCCAGGGUGGGCAGCUGGAGAUGAUCGUCUGAAACAGCCCCAAAAUGGCCUCAAAAUACCCCAAAAUUAACCUAAAAUACCCCAAAAUCACCCCAGAACCAGCCCAGAGACACCCAGGGCGGGCAGCUGGAGAUGAUCGUCUGAAAUGGCAUCUAAAAUCACCCAAAAUUACCCCAAAAUGACCUCAAAAUUAACUUAAAACCAGCCCAGAAACACCCAGGGCGGGCAGCUGGAGAUGAUCGUCUGAAAUGGCUCUAAAAUCACCCAAAAUCACCCCAAAAUGACCUCAAAAUUAACUUAAAACCAGCCCAGAAACACCCAGGGCGGGCAGCUGGAGAUGAUCGUCUGAAAUGGCAUUAAAAUCACCCAAAAUUA